RNAcentral lists this long non-coding RNA (239 nucleotides) under Vigna radiata. RNAcentral describes it as "long non-coding RNA (VRAD_LNC003896)". The record is from RNAcentral. Lineage: Eukaryota; Viridiplantae; Streptophyta; Magnoliopsida; Fabales; Fabaceae.
AUAAACAAUGGAACUAUGUGUAUAUAAAUCUAUUUUUAAUCCUUCUUUUACACUUUUGGUAUACGAUUAUAUUUCUACUCAAAUGUGUACUAUGCCUUUACUAUAUUUUUGUUGACGUGGAUAUAGUAUAGUUAUAUAUAUAAUGGAUGCAGAAAGAAAUUUACGGGGAGCAGGAAGCAAUUUCUUCUUCUCACCAGAAUAUUUUUAUCCCACAAAUUCGCAAGCCCAUCACUGGACAC